This 484-nucleotide ribosomal RNA is filed under the name uncultured bacterium. RNAcentral's name for it is "bacterial SSU rRNA". It matches the Rfam family "Bacterial small subunit ribosomal RNA", at positions 36 to 518 of the family's 1533-position model. The record is from RNAcentral.
CUGGCGGCGUGCUUAACACAUGCAAGUCGAACGAAGCUCUCCGAACUGAGAUUCGGUCAAGGUGAAGAGAUGACUUAGUGGCGGACGGGUGAGUAACGCGUGGGUAACCUGCCGUAUGCAGGGGGACAACAGUUGGAAACGACUGCUAAUACCGCAUAAGCGCACGGUUCUGCAUGGAACAGUGUGAAAAGAUUUAUCGGCAUACGAUGGACCCGCGUCUGAUUAGCUAGUUGGUGAGGUAACGGCCCACCAAGGCAACGAUCAGUAGCCGGCCUGAGAGGGUGAACGGCCACAUUGGGACUGAGACACGGCCCAAACUCCUACGGGAGGCAGCAGUGGGGAAUAUUGCACAAUGGGGGAAACCCUGAUGCAGCGACGCCGCGUGAGUGAAGAAGUAUUUCGGGUUGUAAACUUCUUUACCAGGGACGAAGGACGUGACGGUACCUGGAGAAAAAGCCACGGCUAACUACGUGCCAGCAGCGGC